CACUGAGCCACAACGGGUUCUCCCCAGGCAUCUGCUUUUAAGGAGGGGACUUCUCUGUGUUGUGGCAACUCUCCAGGGUGUGCCUCAAUGGCAGUUAAAUUCCUAGUCACAGAGUUCCCGUUGUGGCGCAGCAGAAACCAAUCUGACUAGCAUCCAUGAAGACACAGGUUCCAUCCCUGGCCUUGCUCCCUGGGUUAAGGAUCUGGCGUUGCUGUGAGCUGUGGGGUAGGUCACAGAUGUAGCUUGGAUCUGGUGUUGCUAUGGCUGUAGUGUAGGCCGGCGGCUACGGCUCCAAUUCAACCCAUCCCUGGCCUGGGAACCUCCAUAUGCUGCAGGUGCAGCCCUAAAAAAAAGAAAAAACAAUUCUCACCAGAAAGUCUUCCCUCUAAAGUAGACAAGGAGUUACCUGGUGGCUCAGUGGGUUAAGGAUCCGACGUUGUCACUGCGACGGCUCCCACGACCCUGACUGUGGCCCCCACCUCGGAACAGGAGCCACAGGAGGAGACGGAAAGUUUCGUGUAUGUCCCCUCAUAGUUGAAACAGCGCACGAGCAGUGAGCAGGGCAUAGGGAGUUGGGGCUCACCUAGAAAGUUCACGCCCUUCAUGAAUCGACAGACUCUUCAGCAGACAGCAGGAUGGGCUGCGCCAGGACACAGAUGACCGCUGGAUGUGCGAAAAAAGGGUCAGCACGUGAGCCACCAGGUCAUUCCAGCUUCGGCCGUGGGGCCCCGCUCAGACGCGCGCCUGUCUCCUGGUGAAAUCCUGGAGGCUGUCCUUUCCACCGUCCUGUCUGCACGAGGAGGACACGGGGGUCAGCUUCCUGGGAGAAGGGAGUCGUCCGGAUGGCUGGUCCCCGGAGGGGUGACUUACUGCAUGAACAUCGAAAUCAGAUGAACCCUGACGGCGACAGCGAUGGUAAUAGCGCCACUGGCGGGGUGUAUGGGGGGGUAGCGGGCAAAGCCCGUGGGGCAAAUGUCUUUCUUAAACCCUCCUCAUAAAUCUAAGAUCUCACUGUCACCCACGAGGGGACGGAGCCCGGGGCCUCGGGACCUGAGCUGGUUCUCUGGGUGAGAGGAGGAGGAGGCUUCCUGGGGGGCCGUGUGCCUUUGGCCCGCGUCCUUCACGGUGGCUCUGUCCUCCGGGGGCAGCUGAUCGAACGGGCCUUUCUGUGUGGACAUCACUUGUUCCCAGUGGAGCCCUGGGGGCUAAAAAUAACCAUGUGUUUUCUGUUUUAUCCAAAAAAGAGGAACUGUGCAGUGUGUUUCAUAACAUCUACUAUUUUUGAAAACCUGAAUUUUUUCCACUUUUUUUUAAAUGCCUUUGGGGCUGUCCUUGGAGGGAGAGGCUUUGGUGGAGGUUUCACCAGGGGUCCCUCUGUUUGGUCGUCCAGAUCCUCAGGAAAUGGCUGCAGGAGAAGGGAACUGUCCCCCCGCACACAUGGCCAAGGGGUGGACUUAACACAGGGGUCAUGGGAGGGGAGCCAGAUCUCAGGGGCACCUGAGACCUCAUAGCACAGGCUGGAGGGGAGAAGGGACCGGCCCAGGGGCUGGGCAGGCCUGUUCCGUGUACAGGGGGAGGCGUGCUGACCCCGGCCACAUGCUGCCUCCACGACAGCCAGGCCUCGUGGUCCAGGCUCAGCGUCCAUCUUUCCCCUGACCCCGCUCUCCCAGGUUGGGGCAAGGCCUGAUGCUCCUAAGAUGAGCCACGAGCCAUGAGCCCCCGGGUCCCGGUUGUUCUUGGGUUCCUCUGUUGUUGGCAACCAGGCUAAGAUGGUCAUCCUGGGGUCUGCUGAUGCUAGGGUGGCUCCCUGCCCUUCUCACUGAGACUCUGGAGCGUUAGGAAAUCAUGGAAAGAGCAAACACAGUGAAAGACACGUCGCCCGCAGCCCAGGAAGCUGGAAUGUGGGUGUGGCAUCCCUGAGACCACGCGGGUGUUUCUGGGUGAGCCAAGGGCAGAGGGACCAGGCGGGUGUGGGAGUGGCUGGACGCCAAGAGGACCUGCCCACUGCUGCAACCCAAGGGUAGAGUGGGCCCUUCACACGUGACGUGGCUGCCAGCAUCUGCAGAGGUGAGCAGAGGCAUGGGGCGGAGCAGGAGGUGUUAGAAUGUGUGGCAAGAGCACGAUUCCUCUAGAGUCGGCAGUAAUUUGGAGACUGGAACAGGGACAGACUGACACCUGAUCUCAGUAGACAAGCCAGGAGCAGACCCUUACGGGAAGGCUGAGGCUGUGUCACCAAGCUUAUAGAAACCGUGAGGGAGGGAGGGCAGCUGUGCCUGGAGAGCAGAUUAAUUCUGGGCUGCAGGACUCUGGAUAAGUUAAAGAAAAAGUGCAUCUGCAUCUUUCUAAACCAACUGUGGGGAGUUCCCAUUGUGGCACAGCCAAGACAAAUCCGACUAGGAACCAUGAGGUUUCGGGUUCGAUCCUUGGCCUCGCUCUGUGGGUUAAGGAUCUGACAUUGCCGUGAGCUGUGGUGUAGGUCGCAGACACGGCUCGGAUCCUGCGUGGCUGUGGCUGUGGCGAAGGCUGGUGGCUACAGCUUGGAUUGGACCCCUAGCCUGUGAACCUCCAUGUGC
This 2573-nucleotide long non-coding RNA is filed under the name Sus scrofa (pig). Its description in RNAcentral is "lncRNA (ENSSSCG00060007596.1)". The record is from RNAcentral. Lineage: Eukaryota; Metazoa; Chordata; Mammalia; Artiodactyla; Suidae.